AGAGUUUGAUCCUGGCUCAGGAUGAACGCUAGCGACAGGCUUAACACAUGCAAGUCGAGGGGCAGCGGGGGCGAAGCUUGCUUCGCCUGCCGGCGACCGGCGCACGGGUGAGUAACACGUAUGCGACCUGCCCCCCGCAGGGGGAUAACCGGGAGAAAUCCCGACUAAUACCGCGUAACGCCGCUGGGCUGCAUGGCCCGGCGGCCAAAGGAAGCGAUUCCGGCGGGGGAUGGGCAUGCGGCGCAUUAGCUAGUCGGCGGGGUAACGGCCCACCGAGGCGACGAUGCGUAGGGGUUCUGAGAGGAAGGUCCCCCACACUGGUACUGAGACACGGACCAGACUCCUACGGGAGGCAGCAGUGAGGAAUAUUGGUCAAUGGGCGGGAGCCUGAACCAGCCAAGUCGCGUGAGGGAAGACGGUCCUACGGAUUGUAAACCUCUUUUGCCGGGGAGCAACGGGGUCCUUGCGAGGGCCCGAUGAGAGUACCCGGAGAAAAAGCAUCGGCUAACUCCGUGCCAGCAGCCGCGGUAAUACGGAGGAUGCGAGCGUUAUCCGGAUUUAUUGGGUUUAAAGGGUGCGUAGGCGGGCUGUUAAGUCAGCGGUCAAAUGUCGGGGCUCAACCCCGGCCUGCCGUUGAAACUGGCGGCCUCGAGUGGGCGAGAAGUAUGCGGAAUGCGUGGUGUAGCGGUGAAAUGCAUAGAUAUCACGCAGAACUCCGAUUGCGAAGGCAGCAUACCGGCGCCCGACUGACGCUGAGGCACGAAAGCGUGGGUACCGAACAGGAUUAGAUACCCUGGUAGUCCACGCAGUAAACGAUGAAUGCUAGCUGUCCGGUUCUACGGGACUGGGUGGCACAGCGAAAGCGUUAAGCAUUCCACCUGGGGAGUACGCCGGCAACGGUGAAACUCAAAGGAAUUGACGGGGGCCCGCACAAGCGGAGGAACAUGUGGUUUAAUUCGAUGAUACGCGAGGAACCUUACCCGGGCUCAAACGCCAAAGGACAGCCGCUGAAAGGCGGCCUCCCUCCGGGGUCUUUGGCGAGGUGCUGCAUGGUUGUCGUCAGCUCGUGCCGUGAGGUGUCGGCUUAAGUGCCAUAACGAGCGCAACCCCCAUCGACAGUUGCUAACGGGUGAUGCCGAGGACUCUGUCGAGACUGCCGGCGCAAGCUGCGAGGAAGGCGGGGAUGACGUCAAAUCAGCACGGCCCUUACGUCCGGGGCGACACACGUGUUACAAUGGCCGGUACAGCGGGAUGCCAGGGCGCGAGCCCGAGCGGAACCCGAAAACCGGUCUCAGUUCGGAUUGGAGUCUGCAACCCGACUCCAUGAAGCUGGAUUCGCUAGUAAUCGCGCAUCAGCCACGGCGCGGUGAAUACGUUCCCGGGCCUUGUACUCACCGCCCGUCA
RNAcentral lists this ribosomal RNA (1404 nucleotides) under uncultured bacterium. RNAcentral's name for it is "16S ribosomal RNA". It matches the Rfam family "Bacterial small subunit ribosomal RNA". The record is from RNAcentral.